This is a long non-coding RNA of Manihot esculenta (cassava), 739 nucleotides long. RefSeq lists it as uncharacterized. Lineage: Eukaryota; Viridiplantae; Streptophyta; Magnoliopsida; Malpighiales; Euphorbiaceae. The record is from RefSeq and is a predicted model, not a curated record. The transcript has 3 exons.
CUUCAACGGCGGGUGCUUCGCACUCGCCAAAAAUGGAGAGUGAGCCUUGUUUCAUUCAAGCUCUCCCAUACUGGUGACUAAAUGACUUCCAUUCAAAUUAUCGUUCGAAUUCGUGGAAUCAGAUCGGUAUGCAUCCAUUUUCCUACCAUAUUUACCUGAAGGCGGCUUAUUAAGGGAAAGAGCAGUAGCUCUGGGAAAGAAUUCUUUUUGAGGGAAAGAGUGGGUGAGAGAUCUGUGGACGUAGACUCGACCUUCAUUCAUAUAUAUCUCGACAUGGCUUCGAAACUGUUGUUGAUUAUGGACUUCAUUUUCGAUCUCAUUGCCUUCGCUUUGGCUGUUGCAGCUGAGCAGAGAAGAAGCACUAUUGAUUAUCGCCGGAUACACCCAAUGAAAAUUUAGAAACCGAAAAUGAGGGGUCAUUGUUAUUGCCGGGGGAAUUAGAAAUGGAAUUGGAGCGGGUGGGAUUGGGGUUGGGAUCAGAGUCGGAGUUGGAAGCAGAACAGGAACAAGAAGAAGAAGCAAUGCGAUUAAGGGACUCGUAGAAAUGCUCUUCUUCUUCUUGGGAUGCGUCCUUAUGGCAGUUGCAGUUGUUUCUGCUUAUCUCUGGGCGGUCACUUUGAAACCUUUAGCUAGAGGGGCAUUUGGCAUCCACUAGAUCAGAGGAAAUAGAAAUGGAGAUGAGGGGAAGAGAGAAAGAGAGCAAGAUGACAAAAAAAAAAAAAGGAAAUGGAUUUUUGAA